CAGAUUAUAGCUUAUACUUAAAGCUUUUUAGUUACAUUAAUAGGAAAAUUAAAUAUUUAUUCUGA
RNAcentral lists this transfer RNA (65 nucleotides) under Dalbulus maidis (maize leafhopper). RNAcentral describes it as "tRNA-Val". Lineage: Eukaryota; Metazoa; Arthropoda; Insecta; Hemiptera; Cicadellidae. The record is from RNAcentral.